UCAGGACAGCGCACAGGGAAGUACUGGCUUGGAGCUGCGUGUUCCUUGGGCGGCCGGCGGAGGGCGAAGAGCAGGAAGAGCCCGGGGGACGACGGUAGCAGAGUGUUGGGGAGGCCACAGACGCGGACUGCGUGGAGAAAGCACGCACCCGGGCCGCAGUAGCCGGGCAGGGGGACGGCGGAAAGCAGCCCUCUCUGGAACAUUUUAUUCUGAUCCCCGCAGGACUCCCCCGCGAGCCCCGGCUUGAGCAGUCGUGUAACAAGUGUGCGAUUGCGCGUGCGACUGGAGUGGAACGACCUUCCCUGACCUCAUUUUCAUGUCGGCGCGAGCACACCCGGAGCCGGCUACGCACAUUCCGGAGGAGGCGC
RNAcentral lists this long non-coding RNA (368 nucleotides) under Homo sapiens (human). Its description in RNAcentral is "HSALNT0106087". The record is from RNAcentral. Lineage: Eukaryota; Metazoa; Chordata; Mammalia; Primates; Hominidae.